This 282-nucleotide small RNA is filed under the name Procavia capensis (Cape rock hyrax). RNAcentral's name for it is "7SK RNA (ENSPCAG00000020268.1)". The stretch from base 1 to 178 matches the Rfam family "7SK RNA". From Rfam's summary of the family: 7SK was discovered as an abundant small nuclear RNA in the mid-70s but a possible function has only recently been suggested. Two independent studies have found that 7SK RNA binds the CDK9/cyclin T complex (known as elongation factor P-TEFb). The record is from RNAcentral. Lineage: Eukaryota; Metazoa; Chordata; Mammalia; Hyracoidea; Procaviidae.
GGAGGGAUCUGGCUGUGACAUCUGUCACUCCUUUGACUGCUGACGGUUAAUUCUGACGGAUCUGGCUAGCUGCACAGAUGUCCACUUCCUCAUAUUCCAGGUGCACUGUUACUGAAGAUGUAUGUGCAAUGGGAAGCAUACCUUUUCUAUUAGAGGACAAUUCUUUGGUUAAAAGUGACCCCUCCUUCAAACGCACUUUAAAACCUGUAUCUUUUCUACAAAGGGCAAUCUCAAAGAGAUGCACAUCCCCAAUAACGCUCUAUCUGAUGGGCUCUCAUUUAG